Molecule: long non-coding RNA, 12615 nt
Filed under: Gallus gallus (chicken)
Lineage: Eukaryota; Metazoa; Chordata; Aves; Galliformes; Phasianidae
Source: RNAcentral
GGGAGCUCCAUCGCCGGCAGCCCCCGAGGAGGGCGGGGCGCGGCGCGCCCGCACCGCUCCGCGCCUGCACUGGAGGCGGCCCCGCCCACGCGCCCCGGCCCCGCCCCGCCCGCGGCGGAUUGCCGGCAGCCCGCAGCCGGAACGCGGACACGUCGCUUCGCAGCACCGCCGCCCCGAGCCCGUCCGCAGGAGCGGCCCCGAGCGACGCAGUGACCCCGAGCUCCGCAGUGGGUCCGACCGCGGGACUCUGCCGACCGCGGCCCCGCAGCGCUGUCCCGGAACGGAGGGGCGGCCCCAGACCCGGGGAGCGGAGCGUUACGAGUGCGGCUGCGCAGAAUCAUCGCCGUGUGGCAGUGCUCCGCAGCGCGUGGGACGCGGCCUGAGCCACUCGGGGCUGCAGGAGGACGAAGCCCCGGCCCUGCGCUACCGCUAACCUGCUAUCCGCUACUACAUGACAACAUCUGACUGUAUCCUCGCCGUUCCCUCUGAAAACUUACAUAUCAGGGUUAGCAGAAACGUCAUAGAUAGAAAUACAACAGUACUUCAUAAACAUAAAGCAAACAGGGAGGCACCUGACUGAUGGCCUGCAAGGACGGACCAGAUGGAGGAGCCAGCAUAGGAAAUCCUCUUCACCCAGAACAUUUUGGGAGAUAGGAAUGUCACAUAUUUAGAAGAACACAUUCUCAGGAUCAUCCCUUUCUGUUUAUAAAUAUUUCUAAAUAAAAUAAUUUUAAAGACACUUUUGCAUUCUAAAUCUGUUCCUGUCAGUCUGUGGUUUUCUGCACACAGUGGUGCAUAAGUUGCUUCAGAAAAACAAAACCAGAUUCAAGAAAGGUGCUUAAAUUUAUGCAUUUUUUUUUUUUUAAGUAAGCUUCUUUUGCAUUACCUACAUUUUGCAGAAAAUACUCAGUUUCACUGCUGUGUGAGGAUGAUUCUCUCUCAGUCACUGCGAGGACAGCAUCCCGUAUUUCUGAAAGCCAAUUCAAUAGCACGAACCAAUGCAUUUUCAGGAUGAAGUGAACCGUUUGCAUACAGGUGUUCUGAGAAGCCAGAGCUCCCUCUACCGACUGAGACUGCAGGAAGGACACUUGUCCUGCAUACAGAAAAAGGUACGGAGGCACUGUCAGUAAUUACUCAUCCACAUCUGUACCAAAUCAUCUGAAGUACUGUUUCCUGUUAAACCUUUCCACAUAUGAAGAUCACUAAAAAAUUCUGACAUAAAGAUGUCAUCCUCAUCUAAUAAGUGUCAAAUAGCAACACAGAAAUAACCAAAAGUACAGAAAAAAUUAACAACUGACAGAAAAUAGGAACCUGCUUCGCUCUUCUCACUGUUAUGGCAUUCCAGGUCAACGGAUGCAGCUUCUCCAAUUAAAAUUUCUUUGCUUCACUCACAAACACUGCUAAUUCAAACCUCCUUGCCCACCUCACUGGACAUCGUUCUGCUCUGGUGAGGGCAUCUGUCCUGCACACCUUCAGUGCUGACAGAAAUUGGGGCACUCCAGAAGUAACAUCUCCUAUUUAUUUCCACAGAAACUACAGCAGCUACAAAGAGCACAGAGCGCUGUUGGAUAGAGCACACGCUCAGAUACAGGACACUAUUUUCCAACAUAGUCAUCAUCAUUAGUUGUGCAUUUCAGCUCAUGCUGAAAAAGAGAUUGCAUGCCAUGCUCGUGACUGCAGGCACUGCUGGCACACAGCACCCAUCCCUCACUGUGCUCACAGUGGUCCCCAAACAUGUUCAGUGUCAAUGAACGCACACGAGAUGCUCCUGGCUGCACAGCACCGAUCAGCAUGGGCUGAGGAAAAGGGUCAGAAGCUACUAAGUGUGCAUAUAACAUCUUUACUGGCAUUACUCAUUUUUAUAUUCUGCAACAGACCUGAACUAAUAACAGUUACUCUCUUCAGACGUCAAUUAUACUAAAAUUAAUUUCUUCGCUCUUCCGUAUUUCAGUGCCCUUCCACUUUGCCCAUAAAGAAGACUUUGAGCACAAGGUCACUCCAGUGCUUCACAAAGGUGACAGCCACCAGGCAGGGAAAGGCAGUGCCUGGCACAACAUGGUCAUCCAAAGCAAUUAAGCAACUGAAGAUCAAUUUCUGUGCCUGUAAAACAACCCUCAGCCUACUCUUGACCCAUCACUCUGCAAUUACACCACUACACAAUCUGCUGUUAUCUUAUCUUGUUGCAAGAUGCAAACAAUGCAACCCUAUCCCUGCACAAAGCACCAACACUGUGUUGUGGCCCUUCUGCUGGAGCAGGAGAGCAGUGGUCACUGUGGCAGGGGCUCGAGCUGUGCUAGCACACACUGCACACAGCUACUGAAUUGUGUCUUCUGGAAGUUCAGAGCUGUAGCUCCAGCUAUUUGCAGCAUUACCUUUGAGAUUUCCUGAGACUGAAGUGAGCCUGAUGCCCUUACACACCAACCCACCCAGAUUUCUGUGGUACAUCACUGCUGAGUAUGCAAUAUGCUCCUAUUCACAGUGAAGAAAAGGUCCUACUCUUCAUUACAAACCACGCCAACUCCGCACAAUCUGUGCUGUUUUAAUGUGAUUCGGCUGCAGGUGCUGCAAGUUGAUAUCAAUAUAUUAUUUCCAGAAGGGCUCAUGACUAACCUCAUCUGUUUAUAUGACAAAAAUUAUUUUUAAUGUAAAAGUGGUGCUUCAGGGAUAAAACUACAAAAUGUUUUAUGUAGAAUCUGUUAUGGUAAAAUUCCAGAAACAUUUACCAUCUACAGGCAUUGAAUGCGAGAACAAAUGUUACUGGGUGCUGCAGAGAAUACUGCUUAUUAUUUUGUGAGAUGUGUGACAGCUUAAGCAGUCUUUUACAGACAGCCCAAAUAAUGCUUCCACGUGGUGUUAAUGAUACACAAAGUUGCUGCAUCAUUACAGGCAGCUGUCCCAGCAACCAUUAAUAUGUCACCAGAGUGCCUAUUUAGAAAGGGUCAUUAGAAAGUACCUAAGAAAAGCAGGUUACUGAUAGUAGCCUUUAUGUGACGCUCACGAUGUCAGUACUGCCGCAGGAAAAUACUGAGGAGUCCACAAAGUACAGAUUAGCAAUUGUUACACAACCGAAGCACAUGCAGCCUUUGUUUUUAAAUAGAUAGUAACAGAAUAUAGAUUUAAGUUGGCAACCAAUAGCUAAAGAUACUUAAAAUAUUUAUGAGAGCUGAUCACUGAAAAUGAAAACAGGGUGAGAACACAGCAGAGCUGAAGUGCACAGAGCCUCAGAAAGCUGCUCUGGGGGAUCUCAGCAGAGGGGUCUCUGCUCAGUGCUGGCACAGACAAACUUUGAGUUGCUCUGCUUUUUAAGGUACUUGAUCUUGUAUCUUCAGCAUUUCCUCUGUUAAAAUCUGUCCAAAGCUCAGUGAUCUCAAUAUGUGACAGUCUCAACUCCGUACCACAGAAUCAUGGACUGGCAGAGGCAGGCAGGGUCCUCCACCAGGGCUGUACAGCCCCACAUCCAGGCUGGAGACCCCCAAGGAGAGAGAGCCCUCCGCUGUGGGUGGCGGGACUGCCCACACCGCCAUAUUUAGAGGGUCCCUCCAGUGCUGCACUUUCUGCCCACUGCCAUCUACACUUGCUCCUGGGCACUGCAGAAAAGCCUGGCUCCGUGCUCCCUGCAGCCCACCUUUGGGAACUGACGCUGGUAAGGUUCCAACACAGAGAGCAACCUCCCACCAAAGUACAGCUGCUACUUCUGUAGCUCUGGAACUUUAACACUGUUUUGCUUGUUCAUGUCCUGUAACUCCUUACCCCACAAAAAGCUCCGUGAAAGCCAGGAAGUCUCACACCACCACUUCUAAGCCACCAAAGUCCUAAUUUCACAGCUCAGUGGGCUGCUUUUAAAGAAAAAAAAAGGCUUUAUGCAAAAAUAUUUAAAUGUACACUGUUAGAAAUACAGCAUCAAAGGAAGUAUCUCCACAAAACUUUAAUUACUGCAUUAUUUUCCAUGCUGUGAGUCUUUUUUUUUUUUUUUAAACAGAGCCUGACAACACGAAGUAGGAUUUUCUUAUUACACAUGGAAACACAUGUAAAUGAGGUGUUAGGACAAAUCUGAUUUGUGGUUUUGGGAUAGCACUUCGCCCUUCUAUUUCAACAGAAACUGAAGAGAACAGACAAGAGAACAAUACUGUGAGCUAAAAAUAUGCUGCAUGCAGAGCAUUAUUCAGAAUUCACUUCCCCUUACGCCACAAGCACCGUGUCCUUAACUCCCACUUGGAACACAGGACUUCAGCAUCACACAGGAUUGGACCCCCCAGUACUCGUUAUUCUGGAGAACCAUACAAACAUGGGUUAAUGCUCACAACAUCAAUAUAAGCCCUGACUGUUCUCAGGGGAUUAGCAAAACGAACAAGAAAUAAAGACUCUUCUCUCCAUAACUUUGCAGCAUCCACAUACAAAGCAUGGGGAGAUAAACAAUACAAAGCAUGGGGAGAUAAACAAUACAAAGCAACCAAACAAAAACCCCUCCUGGGUUAAGGAAGCAAUAUUUUGAAGAGAUUAACCUCCUAAACUUCCUGGAAACAUAUUUAGUGUGGGGGUCAUGAUGAGGUUAUAAGCACAAAAAAGGAAGUGUAGAUGCAGAUCAUCAGGAGGCAGAUGAAAGCUGACCCACCGCACAAAGCAGACAUGCUGGAGGAAGAGAAGGUUCUAAGAAAGGAAGAAUGAGGCCUAACAAGAAGUCUUGGGUUCUCUGGAUCUGGAGCGACACACAGGACUUAAACUGCAGAUACAAAAACUAUAAAAUGGUUUCCAGUACAAGAACAAAGAUCAGCUCAUACAGUUAUAACAAAGAGUUCGGGGGGAAAACGUGGAGAUGAGGUAGGGACACUGUAGUAGGAAUAUCAGCUGCGAAAGGCAGUGAUUAGGGGAACGGGGCUGAUAGCAGAAAAUACUGCCAUGUCAGAUAAGGGGUUUUUUUGUUUGUUUCUUUUUCUGCUAAGGACUUUGAUGCAGAACUCACACGUAUGGGGCAGGUAUGAGAAACUUCUUCCCUACAAGAGGACCCUGAAGAGCAUGCCCAGGAAUGCAGGUUCUGCCAUCUGCUUCAGGUCUGAGGAGUCUCACCUUCUAACAACUGCCCCAUGACAGCACAGUCUCAGUUUCUAAGUACAAAUGGACGUCUCAUUAAAAAAAAAAAACUUAUUUUUCAACUUCUGCCACUUACCUCAUUAGCACAGCCAUACUGAUGAAGGUAAGUUGGCUUUUUUUCCCCCCCCUUCCUCCAAACUAUCGCAGGUACAGCACCUGGUGUUAAAAAUUAAGUAAAAUGGUAGGCCCAAAUGUACAACAAAAUGAAUCAAGAACAUUAUGCUCAGAACACCAUUUCUGUAGGCAGAGGAGAGCAUAUACUUAAACCACGGUGCAGGGUAACUUCACACAGAAGGAUGAAGCGUGAAGCGUUGGGCUUGACUCUGCAAAUAUGGAAGGUAUGGAAGUAGUCUGAAUGUGUUUAACAGCUCUUAAGCUUCAGUAGUAAACUCCAGGCAGAAGCACUUGGGCUGCUCUCCAUCUAUGCUUCACAAAUAUAUUCGCAACAGGUGAAGCUCCUGCCACGCGAAUGAGCACUGACAACUUCAGAGCAGCCUGCAAAAGCUUUUACAUGCACAUAACAAAAUAUAAUUGAAAGCUAAUUUCUCAGCAAGCCAUGUCCACUGACUUUGUCUUUACACGUACCAAAAUCUUUUGCAGUCAUGGGCAAAUUUUAGGCUUAAUAACCACAGACGCUAUGCAGCAUUACUUCGAAGCUACGGAAUACUGCAGCAAAAGAAUGCAUUGCCCCUUAUUUCAAUAUGCAAUUUGCAACAUUGCAGUAAGGAAACCACUACAAGAAAAUAAAACGCCCAUUAGUUCUUCUAGAUGACAACAUCUAAACAUUGGAAAGAAAAGAAAAAGAGAAGGGAAAGCAGAGCAGGAAUUUCUGCUAGAGGAGCAGCACCGAGCACGGUGCAGGGAUGAGUGCUCAGGCAACAGGCAGGGCUCAGAGCGGCCCUGAACAGACUGCCACCGUGCAUCUGACUGGGGCAGAAGAGCUCCACAACAAAGGGCAGCCACCGACUACAGAGCGCAACAGGCAGUGGGUGCUGGAAAUUCAGCUGAGGACAGAAGACAUUCAGCAGAAAAAGAGAGAAUAACAUUGCUUGACUGCAAUUCUCACAUUACACAUUUUUUGUCACUUAAAUCACAGUAUUUUCACUGAAUACGUUGCUUCUUUGUCCUUGUGAGUUGUACAGUCCCUACAGAACAGAUACGUUCACAACAGAUGGAUGCUGCAACUCAGUAUUUUUCAGAUCACACUUGGACUUCUGAAAUUUUAAAGAAUUUCAAAGCAAAGAAUGCCAGCCUGCUGACGUUCACAUUUCUUCACUGUCAUCCAACAAACACCAACAUCAAGAAAGUGAAAUUGGUGGUGCUUUAUUUUUAAAACAUUUUUUUGAAAGACUGAGAUCACAAAGAAGGUAACUCAGCAUAGUCAUGAGGAAGUUGACGUGAAAUGAGAUCAAGGACAGAUCUGCUACAUACACAAUCGAUACAGAUGAUCUCCCAGCUGGAAAAUUUCUACUGCCAUGGACACUCAUGAUGGACAUCCAUGGAAAAUAAAACCGAGCAACUCUGAAGCUCUAUACUGCUCACAGGCUCCAACAGGCAUGGCUUUCAUUUCAGCACCUUUCUAAGGUACGAGAUGUUGUAUGGCACCAAUGCCUACGAUAGGAACCACAGACACAGCUCCAUACUGCCAGUAUGGUUUCCUUGGUCAUUUACAGCCAGUAAGUAAGUAAAAACAAUUUUCACCAAUUCUUGCUUGUUUUGGUAUUUUCCACACUGCAGAAAGCCACUGUUUGGAAUCCACAGCAGUUUUUGGUUUUCUUUACUAUCUUCAGAACAUCUGUUUCCAUCAUCAUCCUUAGGCAAGAACCAGAUGUUCCUCCAGACACUAUUCAGCUUUCAUCAGUCAUAGCUGGAGCUAGUUAAAUGCAGAUUGACAACUUACACACACAUCCAUCUUUUGUAAAGUUAUGAGACAAUUUCAGGACUAGGGUGGAUAAAUGAUGUAUUUGAGAUGAUUCACCCCAUAGCCUUUUAGUUUAAAAAAAAAAAAUGGCACCACACAGAAGCACAACUGCAGAAUGCCACAUAGGUGAGCACUGGGUAACCCAGUUGCAUUUGAAAUUGAACGCUGUUAAAUAGCCAGAUGAAGACUGAUAUUUACCUUGUAAUUUUACAUGUGUAAGUAAGUGCAAAAUCAGAAUGAGUACUGUCUCAGGUUGAGUCUGUGUUCAAGCAUGUCAACUCUGAAGUAAACUGAAUCUUGCAUGACUAGAGGCCUUUGCUGUUAACUUACUAAGGAAAAGCUCAUGACUGAGCACUGCCAUUGCUUUGGCCAUGGCUUUUAGUUGGUUCUGUUAAAAAAAAACAUUCUUGCUCUCAUUUUAAGUCUUUUUUUUUAAUUAUUUAUUUCCUGCUCACUCUUCCCCCAUUCUACAUGGGCCUACACAGAUACUAAAAUUACUAAAACAUCAAAAUUCAGAGACAUAUCAACAAAUGCUCUCGGCACUCCUGAAGGGUUUGUUAGGAUUUUAUCUCAAAGUCCACCUAUAUUUUUCAGGAUGUUAGGAAGCAAUCCCAAAAUUAGAGCACUGGGAGAGGUCGUCUCAGGUUAAGGGCGAGGUAGCAAAUCUGAAAGCAGCAGAUACACUUUGGAUGGUGAGAUAAAGAGGGCCUAUGCUGAAGUGCAUCAACUUCAUUUCCAUGGCCUUCUUCAGCCUCGUGACAAAGGGUUCUUACACGGCACGCAGAUAUCACAGAGAUGCAAGUGCCACUACAAAAGGAAAAUGUGAGCACUUUCAGAACAGCCUCUCUUCUACACAUAUGCAGAGGACAUUGCAGCUGCCACUUUCUUGCAAUACUGCUCUGUAAGUAACUAAGCUAUGUUUAAAAAUCAAGUAUAUCAGAUUUAAAUGAGCUAAGGUCUUAACCUGACAAACCAAAGACAGGCUGCCAUGCUUCAUAACUUAAGUUGCUGGAUUUGGAUACAAACUUAGAGAAUUGGCUUUCCUCAAAGUUGACCUGAAACAAAGGUCAUGAAUGCAAUCACAAUGAAAAAGCUUGCAAGGAAAUAAACCUGAAACUAGUACAAGAGCUCUUUUUGAUAUGGUUCAGCAACCAAGUUAACCAGUUCUAGGAGAGCAUCCACUUUUCCCAAAUACAUUACUAUUUCUAUUCUUUUAAUUGCUGUCAGAACAGAAAUCUCAAAUAAAGGUAGACCCUCAAUGCUCCUUCCAAGAGGAAUAUUCAUGCAACUAAUAGAUCACAAUGAUAAACCACAAUUUGAAGAUCUCGAAAGCACUUCAAUUAAAUGGAUCUGGGAAAGAAGAAAGAUUAAGACAAAUACUACUACUUGAUAUCAUCAGUAAACCAAUACACAUAGCUUUGCAAGAACAAGUCACAGAACAGAGGCUGUCAUUUUGGCAAAGGCCCAUUUCAGCAUAGUAGUAGGGCUGAUUGAAAUCAAAUUUAGCCAACCUGGCCUUGCGGCUUGGUUACCUACUGCAGCCACCAUUCGCAGAGCCUCUCAACAACCUAAACGCUCUACUGCUCCAUUCGCUCAAACUGGAAUUCCUCACUUUUACAAAACACAAAAUAAAAUAUGAAGGGAAUAAAAAAAGCCAUAUCCGUAAAUACAAGUUUUUGUUGCAGGAAAUAGCUGCUAACAAGGACUACUCUAGCUGCUGCUCUUCCCAUCAUUUCUUGCUUGUCUGCGAUGCACCAUCUGACCAACUUAACAUGCUGCAGAAGUAGUCCUUACUUCAGUAAUCAAAUAAAAUAAGCCACUUGCCACGUGAGAAAAUAACUAAUGCUUUAGUUAUUUUCCUUUAAGUUCCAUCCUUUAAGUUCUUUGCUUCAUCACACACACAAAAAAUUUUGAACACAGUAGCAUUAGCGUUUGCUGUAAGAAACUUCCUUUUAAAAACAAGAUUCAGAAGUCUUAAGGAAACACACAAGGAGAUGAUAAAUACCAAAGGUAAAUCUGAGUAACUUACUGCUGCUGUGGCCUCCUCUCCACCUACACAGACAGAAGCAGCAAUCUCCAUCACGGACAAGUUCGUGGGAGCAUCUGUAGUGGACGACGAUCUGGGACGACCUGAUUGCAUAUCUUGGGCAGACCUCCUGUUGAUCUGCGGACUUCCUUUGGGAGGGUCCGUCUUGCCCCGCCUGCUGUGCAGGCUCGUCCCUCUCUUCAUUUUAGGUGGCACUCUGAUCUGCUGAAGCACUCGGUUCAGAGCUGUAGGGUGGGUGGAGACACCAUCAAUUUCAGCACAGGUGCUUUGGCUUUCCAAAUCCAUGUCAGACUCCAGAUCAGCCUGAACUUGCUGAACAUCAUGUGGAGAAACUGAUGACCUCCUGCGCUGAUGCUGGAAAAGGUGCUUCAAGCCUUGACCAAUCACAUUAAUGUUCUCCAAAGCAUUAUGGGUUAUUUUGGAUAAUUUUUGCUCUGAUUCAUGUUGUUUUUUGGUCUCUUGAUCUUGGGAUUUGCCUCCAGGAUCAGGGUCAUCGCACAACUGUUCACUGCCAGAGGGCUCCAUUGAUGACACCCCACAGGUUAAUUUGACUAUUCGUACAUAAACAUGUCCCCUGUCUUUAAAAGGCUUGUGUUUGUUUUAAAAAUGCCAAGAUUGUCAGCCAAUUAGGUGUACAAUUGCUUCAAGAGUGACUACACAUGCAGCUGUGCCACGGUGAUCUCAUGCUUAUCUAAUGUUAAACAAAAGAGCCGUUAUUACACACCCAUGCAGAAACUAGUGGGUUAAAAAAAACAAUGUACAAAACAUGCCAUUAACAAAACAAAUUUAGCAGUUUUCCAAGCAUCCCUCAAUCCUGGUUUUAGUUGCAUGUAAGGCUGUGUGCAGAAGCCAAAGCUUGUAUGAUACAAUUCAUUUAUUGCCUAGGGGAAGAAGCAUAGCACAAAGUGAAGCAAGAAAGGCUUUUUUCUUUUAAACAAAAAGUCUACAAAAGUGGGGAAGGAAGAAAGGAAAAACAAGGGGUUUUUUUUGUUGUUAUUAAGAACAAAGCCCACAGUAGUAUCUAACAGAACAUGAAGUUACACUUCCAUAGAACAUGUUAGACUUUUUGGCAGAAUUAAUUUUGUUCCUUACCAAAGGAACAUGUUUCAAUCAUAAUGUCUGUCCUGCCUACCUGAUUUUCCUGAAGAACGCUCAACCCCACAGUAUUUGAUAAAUGCAAGACAGAACAUUUCCAAAUCAGUUAACCAUUUAACUCCAAGCAGUAAGAAAUGUCUUAUUACUGCCAGCAUCUAUUGAUUGCACUGGAAACUAGACAAGAAAGUCAAGCAAGGAGAGGCAAGUGAAAUGGUUUCAGCGGGCAUGGUCUUGUCCAUAGUUCUCAGAGAAAACAGGAACUCCUUUUUAAAAGAUGAAGGAACCCAUCUGAACAGGCAGAGAGCGCAGCACCAGGGCAUGUAGCUCAGCCUCUACAGCAGGGAAAACAUACAGGUUUCCUCCAGGAGACAUCAACCUCCUCCUCACAACCUCCCCUCCUCACAUCAGCAGAGCUCAGAAAGCAGUUGGUUACACUACGGUGCAACUGAGAACUUAUGUAACAACACACUGUUGGAGAAGUACAGCAAGGAAUGAGGAAGGAAGGAAGGAUACAAUAUCCAAGUUCCACAUUAGCACCAUGAGAUCACAUGCUCAGAAGCUGAUGGCUGUUUUCUUGCAGGAAAACAUUUUCAGGCUUCUAUAAAAAUGCAGAAACCAGAUCACAGAAGUCUAUCUCAAUCUUGGCAGAAGGCAGCCCAUGCUUUAAAAACCAUUUCAUUUGAAAUGCAAUGUAUGUUUGGGAUUUGAGAGCACCUGUUUGUAUUUUGAAACAGCUGCAGCAAUGCAGCGCACUGAGCUUACACCUGCAGAGCUCUCAAUUUUGUACUUCUGAAACCCAGCACAGUGGGUUAGAACAGAUGUUCCAAGACGCUUUCUAAACUGGCAUCCAAAAACAUCCAAGAGCUGCCUUACACUCCUUUCUGUUUUUUUUCUUUGUUUCCCCAAACGUCACUGCAUUAAACUGGAGGUGAGAUGAUAUUCAGUACUUACGGAAGCAAACCACUGGAAUCUUACAGUAUUUUAGCUGAGUACUUUGGAACCACAUUAAAAGCACCGAGUUAAAAUAUAUUUAUCAUUUUAAUCAAUAACCCAUUUAAAGGCAAAUCAACGAGCCUCACCCCAGAAAAAAAAAAUUACCCACAUUCACAGAGGAAUUGUGGCAGAAUCAAAAGAUACAACAACCAAUCUUCUAUUUUUACAUACAUAACACUUUAAGUGAUUAGUAUCAUAGUUGGAUUUUUAAGCUCUACUUUUCUUAACAUUACUUCUACUUUUUUCUAAUGUAACUGUUUCUCAUGAAGUUGAACCACGUGUCCCUGUUUAUUCGUUUUGAGAAAAAAAGGCAAAACUAGAUUUUUCUCAUAACCCAGCAGACAGAACAGUUAAGUGAACAAAACUCAAUGGCUAAAAAACAGGAGUCCCAGAAUUACUUGCCGAAUGAAAUACAGCCUCGACAGCUGACCUAUAACUGCCUUUUCCAUUUUAGCUAACUCCCUUGACAUUCAUUUUUCAGUUUGGUCUUACAGAAGAGCUGUAGUUCAGAACAGAGAUGUCCAAUGUAUUCCUCACCUAUCAUUUUUACUAUCUACCGCACACUUUCUGUGCAGAUUACCACUGGCAAUACUGUUAACCUAAAACAGUAUCACCUCUGUCUAACUGAGUUCCAUGCAUUCAUUAGCUGCUGGAAAUCAUCAACUGCUCCAAUUAGCUCUGUUUCAAUUUACAAACUCACCUGAAACAAAUGAGCCCAAUUAGUUCACAAACACGUCACUGCCAUGCUUGUGUGUUCUGUGAAUGAUUGCUGACAUUACACUGACUUAUAACUCAAAAUGCUCCUAUAGCAGCUUUGUGGUCAUCUGCUCACAUUUCUGUUUGGUGAAUUUGUUGUGAGUCUGAACAAAGCUUUUCAAACAGCAUUUCUGGUACAAAGAUCCUUAGGAAUACUUAUUUGUACUAGAUACUAGCUUUACAGAGAAAAACAUUUGCUUUACUCAAAUGAGAAGAACUGUGAAUCAGCAGAAUAAAUUAGCACAUCUAUUUGCAAUAACAUUCAAGUUUCAUGCUUGCUUUUGACUCGUAACAACCCUUAUGUUCUCUAUUUGAGGAAGGAAAAGCUGUGCCUUCAGGAUGAAGCUCAGGAACACACAUUUCUCAUUUGUAUGAGAAUACAGUACAUCAGGGACAAAGUUAGUAGUUCUAUAUCCACAGUCACACUGAGCAGAUCAUAUAACAUGAUUCCCUCCCGGAACAUGCCCAUACAGUCUCUCAUUUGUGCAGUUAUUUCACAGCAGCAGUGGGAAACAAAGCAGUUGAAAAGGCGAAACUGGUAAAAACAGUAUGAGAUAACUAUGAAUAUAUAAACUAAUACUUGCCUCCAUCACUUGCCCUUUAGCAUGGCUGACAUACAGCAGUCCCUCCACUGAACAAAACUGCAAAAAGAAAUUGGAUAUGAGAUGCAAUUCUUGAAAAUGGGAGGAAAGAUGUACACAAACAAUAAAGUGAG